UCCGGUUUAGUACCGGCAGUCGCGCUAGACAUGGUAACUAGCGCCGAGGGUUGCGCUCGUUGCGGGACUUAACCCAACACCUCACGGCACGAGCUGACGACAGCCAUGCAGCAUCUGUGCUGGUGCUCGACUUUACGAGUCGUCGCCCUUUCGGGUUUCUACUUGAGGCAUGUCAAGCCUAGGUGAGGUUCUUCGCGUUGCAUCGAAUUAAACCACACGCUCCGCUGCUUGUGCGGGCCCCCGUCAAUUCCUUUGAGU
RNAcentral lists this unclassified non-coding RNA (258 nucleotides) under uncultured Chloroflexota bacterium. RNAcentral's name for it is "uncultured Chloroflexi bacterium contains 16S-23S intergenic spacer region". Lineage: Bacteria; Bacillati; Chloroflexota. The record is from RNAcentral.